UUUGGUUUGUUACGUGUGGUUGGCUGCGGCGUUUGCAACAACUUCCAUGCUUUCAGACCUCUUCAGUUGUGCGGCAAGGCUUGUAUCGCCUUGAGCGUAUCGUGGGUUUUCUGUGUUGGCUACCUAAUCGACGGUAUCGGUUGGAUUGAUCAAAGUUUGAUUUCGUCUUCCGUCGCAUUCGCGGCGUGAGGUGAACCUCGAUGCGGUCUCUUUGAUCCACCUCGUCGGAGCACAUGCUUUGACGUUGUGGCGCAUUGAGCAUUGCUUGGUCUCUUGUAUACGGAACAUAUAGUGGGCAUGGAUCUAACGAUUCUCGUUUGCCCUCAUAUUAGCGUAACGCUUCUCUUACACGACUUGCUCCACGUUUUAG
RNAcentral lists this unclassified non-coding RNA (370 nucleotides) under Artemisia chamaemelifolia. RNAcentral's name for it is "partial external transcribed spacer". The record is from RNAcentral. Lineage: Eukaryota; Viridiplantae; Streptophyta; Magnoliopsida; Asterales; Asteraceae.